GGGCAGUGGAAGUCCGGGCAGUGCUGCUGGGCCCCAGCCGGCCUGGCCCUGCCCCCCGAGUGGGCGGGACCCAUCUCCUGGUCCUGCCCUCCAUAGCCUGAGCCCAGCAGCCUUCCUAGCAGGCGGCCGGUGCCAGCUGAUCUCCCCGGGCCAGAGUCGCGCUUCCGGUUCGGUCUGGUCUGGUCCAGCUGCGGAGAGCCCUGCCCAGGCCCUGGCUAGGCCCUGGGGCUCAGAGCCGUGGGUGCAGGGUGACAGCCAGCAGAGGAGAGGUCUUCUGCAUGGCACCUUCAGCAGAGCUGAAGAGGAACCAGCGCCCCCAGGCAGGCGGGGCUGGGGCUGAGCCCUGCGCAUCCUGAACAGCGUUGGUGCAGGACACGCAACGUUGAGGCCCAGCGCUGGGGAGUAUGAGGGGAGGAGCCGCCAGCUGGACAGGGACACAACUCGGUCUGUCAUACCUGCAGAGCCGCCGGAUCUCAAGCAGGACGUGUCCUGGGGGCGGCCUCACAGCACCGCUGAUCUGGAGCCUUCCCCAGAUGCAGGUCGAAGGCAGCUGGCCCGGCUCUGCAGCUGGACGGUUGGGUUCACACCAAGUGCUCCAGGGCCAGGAGCAGCGUCCUGGGAGACAAGGAGCUGAGAGGGACUGGGGUCAGCUUGCACGACGGUACUGAUGGACAGUGCGUGUGGCCCAGCUCAGCCAAGCGCCCAGGGCAGGAAGGAGCAGAGGCACCCGUCCCGAGCUGGGCGGGACUUGAAUGCUGGGCCCGGUGCAGACCCAGCUCCCUGUCCCAGGGGGAUCCCUGGUCCCCGGUACAGCACACACUGACUCUGCCGGGCAGGGCAGUCCUGCGAGCACAGGACAGGACUGAGGGGCUGACCAUUGGCUGGCGCAGGCCCAGGACAUCUAUGGGUUUAGCACCCACUGCGCCUCCUGCAGCAGAGGAGAGGACACCGAGAUCCUGAACACGGCCAUCCUCACGGGCAAGACAGUGGCCAUGCCGGUGAGGGUGGUGUCGGUGGAGGAGCAUGGAGCGGUGACAGACGUCUCGGAGCAGGUGGAAUGCGUGUCCACAGAUGAGGAUGUCAUCAAGGUCUCUGGCCACUGCGACUACAUCUUCGUCAACGGCAGGGAAGUGAAGGGAAAGACAGACGUGGCGGUGAACUUUGUGUUCCGGCACCUGAGCGCCCCGCUGCAGGUCACCGUGUGGGCACCGCGGCUGCCCCUGCACAUCGACGUCUCAGACACGGAGCUCAGCCAGAUCAAGGGCUGGCGCGUCCCUCUGGCAGCCAGCGGGAGGUGAGCGGGCGAGGCCCAGCUGCAGCAGAGCAGACCACCAGGGGGGCCGGGCCGGGCCAGUCCAAGCGGAUCCCUGAGUCAUCCCCAGGUCCCCUCGGGGUCCCCAUGUCCCCUUCAGGGUCCCCAUAUCCUCCCCAGAGUCCCCAUGUCC
RNAcentral lists this long non-coding RNA (1445 nucleotides) under Fukomys damarensis (Damara mole-rat). Its description in RNAcentral is "lncRNA (ENSFDAG00000031694.1)". The record is from RNAcentral. Lineage: Eukaryota; Metazoa; Chordata; Mammalia; Rodentia; Bathyergidae.